CUCCAUGAAGCUGGAUUCGCUAGUAAUCGCGCAUCAGCCACGGCGCGGUGAAUACUUCCCGGGCCUUGUACACACCGCCCGUCAAGCCAUGGAAGCCGGGAGUGCCUGAAGUGCGUGAGCGCAAGCAGCGCCCUAAGGUAAAACCGGUGACUGGGGCUAAGUCGUAACAAGGUAGC
This 176-nucleotide ribosomal RNA is filed under the name uncultured bacterium. RNAcentral's name for it is "partial 16S ribosomal RNA". It matches the Rfam family "Bacterial small subunit ribosomal RNA", at positions 1316 to 1500 of the family's 1533-position model. The record is from RNAcentral.